GUGGGGAAUCUUGCGCAAUGGGCGAAAGCCUGACGCAGCCAUGCCGCGUGGAUGAUGAAGGUCUUAGGAUUGUAAAAUCCUUUCACCGGUGAAGAUAAUGACUGUAGCCGGAGAAGAAGCCCCGGCUAACUUCGUGCCAGCAGCCGCGGUAAUACGAAGGGGGCUAGCGUUGCUCGGAUUUACUGGGCGUAAAGGGCGCGUAGGCGGACAUUUAAGUCAGGGGUGAAAUCCCGGGGCUCAAACUCGGAACUGCCUUUGAUACGGGGUGUCUUGAGUAUGAGAGAGGUGUGUGGAACUCCGAGUGUAGAGGUGAAAUUCGUAGAUAUUCGGAAGAACACCAGUGGCGAAGGCGACACACUGGCUCAUUACUGACGCUGAGGCGCGAAAGCGUGGGGAGCAAACAGGAUUAGAUACCCGUGUAGUCC
This 425-nucleotide ribosomal RNA is filed under the name uncultured bacterium. Its description in RNAcentral is "partial 16S ribosomal RNA". It matches the Rfam family "Bacterial small subunit ribosomal RNA", at positions 354 to 796 of the family's 1533-position model. The record is from RNAcentral.